RNAcentral lists this ribosomal RNA (253 nucleotides) under uncultured bacterium. RNAcentral describes it as "partial 16S ribosomal RNA". It matches the Rfam family "Bacterial small subunit ribosomal RNA", at positions 524 to 776 of the family's 1533-position model. The record is from RNAcentral.
UACAGAGGGUGCAAGCGUUAAUCGGAAUUACUGGGCGUAAAGCGUGCGUAGUCGGUUAUUUAAGUCGGGCGUGAAAGCCCCGGGCUCAACCUGGGAAUUGCGUUCGAUACUGGAUAGCUAGAGUUCGGCAGAGGGAAGCGGAAUUUCGGGUGUAGCGGUGAAAUGCGUAGAUAUCUGGAGGAACACCGGUGGCGAAGGCGGCGUCCUGGACCAACACUGACACUGAGGAGCGAAAGCCAGGGGAGCAAACGGG